AAGUCGUAACAAGGUUUCCGUAGGUGAACCUGCGGAAGGAUCAUUAGAGAUUGGCCUAACGGCCGUGUCUUCAUCCACACACACCGUGAACCGUUUUGGAGCCUCUUGGGGCUUCAGACAACACACCAAAAACAAUCUGUAGAGAAUGUGAAAUAUCAUAACAAAAACAAAACUUUCAACAACGGAUCUCUUGGCUCUC
RNAcentral lists this unclassified non-coding RNA (199 nucleotides) under Genolevuria armeniaca. RNAcentral describes it as "partial internal transcribed spacer region". The stretch from base 1 to 46 matches the Rfam family "Eukaryotic small subunit ribosomal RNA", at positions 1786 to 1831 of the family's 1831-position model. Lineage: Eukaryota; Fungi; Basidiomycota; Tremellomycetes; Tremellales; Bulleraceae. The record is from RNAcentral.